AGUGAACGCUGGCGGUAGGCCUAACACAUGCAAGUCGAACGGCAGCACAAGAGAGCUUGCUCUCUGGGUGGCGAGUGGCGGACGGGUGAGGAAUACAUCGGAAUCUACUCUGUCGUGGGGGAUAACGUAGGGAAACUUAAGCUGAUACAGCAUACGACCUACGGGUGAAGGCAGGGGAACUUCGGACCUUGCGCGAUUGAAUGAGUCGAUGUCGGAUUAGCUAGUUGGCGGGGUAAAGGCCCACCAGGGCGACGAUCCGUAGCUGUUCUGAGAGGAUGAUCAGGCACACUGUAACUGAGACACGGUCCAGACUCCUACGGGAGGCAGCAGUGGGGAAUAUUGGACAAUGGGCGCAAGCCUGAUCCAGCCAUACCGCGUGGGUGAAGAAGGCCUUCGGGUUGUAAAGCCCUUUUGUUGGGAAAGAAAUCCAGCUGGCUAAUACCCGGUUGGGAUGACGGUACCCAAAGAAUAAGCACCGGCUAACUUCGUGCCAGCCGCCGCCGUAA
Molecule: ribosomal RNA, 506 nt
Filed under: uncultured bacterium
Lineage: Bacteria
Description: partial 16S ribosomal RNA
Rfam family: Bacterial small subunit ribosomal RNA
Source: RNAcentral